ACACACACAGUCAGACACACACAGUCAGACACAAACACAAACACACACAGACACACACAGUCACAUACACACACACAGUCAGACACAAACACACACACAGUCAGACACAAACACACACACACACAGUCAGACACAUACACAAACACAGACACAAACAAACACACACAUUAACUUUUUUUUAAAUUUAAAUCCCCCCCCAACCUCCUUACC
Pelobates cultripes (western spadefoot toad) is the source of this 210-nucleotide non-coding RNA. Lineage: Eukaryota; Metazoa; Chordata; Amphibia; Anura; Pelobatidae. The record is from the annotation of a GenBank genome assembly.